AGAGUUUGAUCCUGGCUCAGGAUGAACGCUAGCGGCAGGCCUAAUACAUGCAAGCCGUACGGUAAGAUUUGCAGCAAUGCGGAUCCAAGAGUGGCGUAAGGGUGCGUAACACGUAUGCAAUCUGCCCUCAACAGGAGGAUAGCUCCCCGAAAGGGGAAUUAACCCUCCAUGAGAUCACACGAAGGCAUCUGAGAGUGAUUAAAACUAAGGUGGUUGAGGAUGAGCAUGCGUCUGAUUAGCUAGCUGGCAGUGUAACGGACUACCAAGGCGAUGAUCAGUAGGGGAACUGAGAGGUUGAUCCCCCACACUGGCACUGAGAUACGGGCCAGACUCCUACGGGAGGCAGCAGUAGGGAAUAUUGGACAAUGGGUGAGAGCCUGAUCCAGCCAUGCCGCGUGCAGGAAGAAGGCCUUCUGGGUUGUAAACUGCUUUUGCCGGGGGAUAAAAGACCCAUGCGUGGGAAAUUGAAGGUACCCGGUGAAUAAGCCACGGCUAACUACGUGCCAGCAGCCGCGGUAAUACGUAGGUGGCAAGCGUUGUCCGGAUUUAUUGGGUUUAAAGGGUGCGUAGGCGGUUUUUUAAGUCAGUUGUGAAAUACGGCAGCUUAACUGUCGAGGUGCAAUUGAUACUGGAGAACUUGAGUACAGACGAGGUAGGCGGAAUUGACGGUGUAGCGGUGAAAUGCAUAGAUAUCGUCAAGAACACCGAUAGCGAAGGCAGCUUACUAGACUGUAACUGACGCUGAUGCACGAAAGUGCGGGGAUCAAACAGGAUUAGAUACCCUAGUAGUCC
Molecule: ribosomal RNA, 792 nt
Filed under: uncultured bacterium
Lineage: Bacteria
Description: bacterial SSU rRNA
Rfam family: Bacterial small subunit ribosomal RNA
Source: RNAcentral